AUGGCCCUCAGGGUUGCUCCGUCGCCGCUCCUCGCCUCCGGCGGCGGUGCCACCGCCUUCACUACCCCGCUUACGCCCAAGAAGAGAGGCGCCGGCCUGCUCCUCCUAAGCAAGCGCUCCAGGAUCUCCGCCCAGCUCGGUGGUGGAGGUGGUGGUGAUGGAGAGACCAAGCCUGACGGCAAGAAGUUCAUCACCAGAGAACAGGAACCAGAGCAGUACUGGCAGACUGCCGGGGAGAGGAAGGGGGAGAACCCCAUGAUGACGCCGCUGCCCUACAUUGUCAUCUUCGGCUUCUCCACCCCCUUCAUCAUCCUCGCCAUCGCCUUCGCCAACGGAUGGAUCAAGGCGCCCCUCAUCCGCUGA
RNAcentral lists this ribosomal RNA (363 nucleotides) under Triticum aestivum (bread wheat). RNAcentral's name for it is "partial small subunit ribosomal RNA". The record is from RNAcentral. Lineage: Eukaryota; Viridiplantae; Streptophyta; Magnoliopsida; Poales; Poaceae.